Molecule: long non-coding RNA, 256 nt
Organism: Saccostrea echinata
Lineage: Eukaryota; Metazoa; Mollusca; Bivalvia; Ostreida; Ostreidae
Exons: 3
Source: RefSeq, a predicted model, not a curated record
UGUCACGAAGAAGGGAACUGCUGUCAUCAUUAGCUUGGAAUGGAAUUUGUACUUUGACAAAAGAUGCAGACAUUUUAAGACCCGGAAUGCUCACAAAAAGGACAAGAGCUCAGAGCUGUAUGGAAAUUUACACAAAGGGUCAGUUAACAGAUUUUGCAAAUAUGGAGGAUAAUAUAUCAAAGGCAGCAUAGGCGUCCAAACUCCUGUUCAGGGUGCUUUUAAUCAGAAGCUUAAGAGACAAAAGACGACCCAUUGA